This 204-nucleotide microRNA precursor is filed under the name Oryza glumipatula. RNAcentral's name for it is "MIR812 microRNA precursor family". It matches the Rfam family "MIR812 microRNA precursor family". Lineage: Eukaryota; Viridiplantae; Streptophyta; Magnoliopsida; Poales; Poaceae. The record is from Rfam by way of RNAcentral.
AAAAAGACAAACUCUGGUUUUCGUGUCCAAUAUUUGAUCGUCCGUCUUAUUUGAAAAAAUUAUAAAAAAAUUAAAAAGACAAGUCGCGCAUAAAAUAUUAAUCAUGUUUUAUCAUCUAACAACAAUGAAAAUACAAAUUAUAAAAAAAUUUCAUAUAAAACGGACAGUUAAAGUUAGACACGGAAACUCAUAGUUUGUCUUUUU